RNAcentral lists this small nucleolar RNA (95 nucleotides) under Oryza sativa (Asian cultivated rice). RNAcentral describes it as "U24d small nucleolar RNA". It matches the Rfam family "Small nucleolar RNA SNORD24". From Rfam's summary of the family: U24 is a member of the C/D class of snoRNA which contain the C (UGAUGA) and D (CUGA) box motifs. C/D box snoRNAs have been shown to act as methylation guides for a number of RNA targets. The record is from RNAcentral. Lineage: Eukaryota; Viridiplantae; Streptophyta; Magnoliopsida; Poales; Poaceae.
UGAGGACCAGGGAUGUGAGAAAAAUAUUUGCUACUCUUGAUGAGGCAUUGAGUCCCAUCUGAUGAUCAUUAACCACCAAGAUCUCUGAGGCCUUG